RNAcentral lists this ribosomal RNA (192 nucleotides) under Synechococcus sp. SB0662_bin_14. RNAcentral's name for it is "partial 16S ribosomal RNA". It matches the Rfam family "Bacterial small subunit ribosomal RNA", at positions 1343 to 1533 of the family's 1533-position model. The record is from RNAcentral. Lineage: Bacteria; Bacillati; Cyanobacteriota; Cyanophyceae; Synechococcales; Synechococcaceae.
CGCAGGUCAGCAUACUGCGGUGAAUACGUUCCCGGGCCUUGUACACACCGCCCGUCACACCAUGGAAGUUGGCCAUGCCCGAAGUCGUUACUCUAACCUUUUUGGAAGAGGGCGCCGAAGGCAGGGCUAAUGACUGGGGUGAAGUCGUAACAAGGUAGCCGUAGCGGAAGCUGCGGCUGGAUCACCUCCUAA